RNAcentral lists this ribosomal RNA (462 nucleotides) under uncultured Actinomyces sp. RNAcentral's name for it is "bacterial SSU rRNA". It matches the Rfam family "Bacterial small subunit ribosomal RNA", at positions 338 to 795 of the family's 1533-position model. The record is from RNAcentral. Lineage: Bacteria; Bacillati; Actinomycetota; Actinomycetes; Actinomycetales; Actinomycetaceae.
CCUACGGGAGGCUUCAGUGGGGGAUUUUGCACAAUGGGCGCAAGCCUGAUGCAGCGACGCCGCGUGAGGGAUGGAGGCCUUCGGGUUGUGAACCUCUGUCGCCGGUGAUGUAGGCUCUGCUUUGUGGGUGGGGUUGACGGUAGCCGGGGUAUGAAGUGCCGGCUAACUACGUGCCAGCAGCCGCGGUAAUACGUAGGGCGCGAGCGUUGUCCGGAAUUAUUGGGCGUAAAGAGCUCGUAGGCGGCUGGUCGCGUCUGUCGUGAAAUCCUCUGGCUUAACUGGGGGCGGGCGGUGGGUACGGGCCGGCUUGAGUGCGGUAGGGGAGGCUGGAAUUCCUGGUGUAGCGGUGGAAUGCGCAGAUAUCAGGAGGAACACCGGUGGCGAAGGCGGGUCUCUGGGCCGUGUACUGACGCUGAGGAGCGAAAGCGUGGGGAGCGAACAGGAUUAGAUACCCUUGUAGUC